Molecule: long non-coding RNA, 3169 nt
Organism: Dromaius novaehollandiae (emu)
Lineage: Eukaryota; Metazoa; Chordata; Aves; Casuariiformes; Dromaiidae
Exons: 2
Source: RefSeq, a predicted model, not a curated record
CAUCUGCUCUCAGAUUCACACUGUGCAAAUUGUUGUGAAAAAGGAGAAUCAAAUAGUCCAGUACCCUCUGCAUGUUAAAGGUUUAUCCUUCUGUCAUCUCCAGGUGACCCCUAUACUAGCUCUUAGGUAUCUCUUAGUGGAGAUAUAAAUGUAAAGAAUAACCUACUCCCCGUAUGUAAGUAGAGGGCUAUAGAUAUUUAGAAAGACUUGGGCACCUCACUCCUGUUUGUGCCUUUGGAAAGCUCCUUAGCCCUUGAAAGGAACAGAGUAAAUUGCUGUGUGAACAGAAGAGGAAGCAUGAUAGUGUUUUCAUGCCAAGGCAGACAGUACUUCUUAAGAGAGAUUUCUGAAAAAUGAGUGAAAGUUAAACGUGGCUUCCCUCAGAGAGUGGAACUGAGGGACAGGACAGGCAGUAGAGGGGAGUACAAGGUAACGUGAUACAUGCCCGUCUAUUACUGGUAGCUGGAUGGAUUCAGAGGGUAUCCUAACAGAGCUCUCUUUGCAGAGUUAAGAGUAUUUGAGAGGUGGCUUUGUUUGAACACAACUGGCACACAGGCGGCUGCUAUUUUCGCACAGCUUUGGGAAAAUAUUGAGCCUAUGGAAAAAAGAGGGUAUAUGUUUAUUUCAACUAUUGUUGGCUUCCAGUCCACCAGGAAGACCAAGCUUCUCCCUCAUACAGGAAGUAAAUCUGUAAGCAUGACCUCAGACCAAGCUAGACCACAACCUACAGCAUCCAAAGGUCCCGUGUGCUUACACAUACCCAGCUGGCCUGUGUACCACCACAGAGGUUUGCGCAGUGAGUCUGCAGGCAGGUUGUAAGGCAGCCAGUAAUUGGGGAAGGCACGGGGGCCGUCCAGUGUACCUUGUUCAUACCUGCCCUCAUAGCCAGCAGGUCUCCCACUGUGGCCCUAGGAGAGCUCACACACUGAAUUUUAGAUCUACUGCCAAGUGACACCACUGGAAGGCUCUGAUUUGUUCAACCCAGUUGUGACUUGGUAUCCUUGUGAGGAAGUGCAUGCGUUGUAGAGGAAGGAGGGAAGAGGAGAAAAAAGUGACUGGGGGAAGGCAAAGGGAAAUGAAAUGUUCUGAUGGGAAAGGGUCUGAUUUUAUUUCUUGGAACUGUGGGUAUAAUGGAGCAAGGAGAUGUGUAAUACAGUCAGAUCUCUCUUGCUCUUUAUUGUUCGUACAUAUGUAUUCCCAUCUCCUCCUGGUUCCCUUAUAGGAAAUUUGCAGAAAAAAAUAAAAGCAGUCUGUGUUUUUAUUACUUGGGGAGUAUUACGAAUAUUCAUGCCUGUAGCAGACAGUAGAAUAUGUGUGCAGUACAGCAUGAAAGACCUGCUUGUUACUAUGAAGGCUUGAUAACUAUAGAUGCUAUCCUAACAGUGACUCAGACCCAUCCUGGUUUUGCAAUAAUCAUUUUUCUGCUAGCAACUCUCAGAAAAAUGUUAUUACCCUAAUUUCCCAAGAAAACAAGUAGCUGUCUGUCUGUCUGCCAGUGGCCCUAGAUAUGAGAGGGGGAAAUAAGGCUAGUAGGUAUUAUGAUCCUACAGUGAGCCUGUGCAGCUGUGGGGCUCCAUCUGAUCUUUGAGACCAUUUCCUUGAAGUGCCAGGAGCUGAAAUACACAGUGUUCUGCAGCUUUGCUUGGCAACUAAGAGGCAGUGGUCAGGUUGCUAGUCAGCAUAUGUGUACCAAACAUACUGGCUGGCCCGUGUUAGCACACCAAUGAGUAACCUUCGGGUUAAUCACAAUACUUAUUUUCUCUUGCCCACCCAGCACAUCAAAAGGGAUAGCUAGACAGGCCACAUGAAGGUGGGUAUCACAGUGGCCAGCCUAAGGGAGACCCACAAGUCUGUUGCAGUGCUAAAAUACCUAGGAUCAUAGGAAAGCAGGUUUCAGUAAGUCUGCUGCUCACAGACCCAAUAGUUUUUUUUUUUUAAUGCAGAUGGGUCAGAAAUUGGAAUUAGAUCAGUAUUUCCCCCUGCCUUGGGGAUCAGACCCAGGGUUUUUGAAGGGCGUCAAAUCCAAUGCUGCUUAUGCCUCUUGGAGAGUAAGCAAAAGGACCUGCCAUCCCUUUUCCAUGACUUAAGUCUCUCACCCUGAAAUUGCUGGAGAAAUUACAGUUUCUGAGAAAGUAAUGCUGAAGAGGAGUUGCUUUCCAUGCUCAUUCCAAGGAGAGUAGCCUUCGCACAGAAAUUAUUGAAGUGGAGCUAUUUGGGAGGAUAGGAAGGAACGAUUCACAAGCAUUUUACUACUUUGAUUUCAAGGACGUUACAGUACGACUGAGGUCAGAAGAGUGCUUGGAUCAAAGUUAUGACCAGUGAAACUGUGGAAUUCCAUGUUUACAAAUCCUUUCAUUGAUCUCAAGCUCAAAAAUGGUCUCUUAAAUGACUUUAAAAUGCAGCUUUUGUUGUGGUUGCUCACUCUGAACGCUUUCGUUAUGCACCUCCCAACUCUUGAACUGUUACCAUUAAGAAAGUUGAAUUUAGCAGGUAGUUUUUUUGGUAAUGUGCUUUUGAGCUCCAUACCAAUUGCACCUAUGCAUUUAUCUGUGCAGUAUGUUACUGAAUGUUUUGCAACUUCUGCUCACAGAAAAUGGCUUUCCUUACUGUGGUUCCUUUUGUCCUUUAUCCACAAAAAGGCUAAAUUUUGCUGUUGUAAAAUGGUUCAUCUGUUCUGAGAACAAGACUGGGGAAAACAACAUUGUUUUAUCCACGUUCAAAUAAUUCUGUUGACUGGAAAGCUGUUUUCCUCUCUCCUUCACCUUAGCACCCAGUUGUCUGAGUUGUGCCUUCUGCAGGCCCCAUGGAAACCCAUUCCAGUAGGGCUACUCUAGAAGAAUCCCAAUUCUCCCAUGUUCACAGGGGAUUUGUGUAGGUAAAUGUCCCCAUGGCUCAGAGGCAGAGCCUGAGCCUGCAGCAAGCCCCGUGGCUAUAGCCCAGUGGUUCACUUUGAAUGCAGAAGCAGAGUCUUAUUUUCUAAACAGACUGCUUGAUUUCUCACAUGUAAUGAAGUGUUUUAAUGCAUAUGGGUCUGUUAUUUACCAUCUUCCACCAUAACUGUUUAGUACGUCCCCUUUUUGUUUUUGUUUCUGUGAAACGGUGUCAUUAAAUUUACCCACUUUAACAAAGUAAGUGGAGACAUCUACAAAUAAAGCACUGUGAAUCAUCA